AUAAAAAUAGAAAUGGAAUAUUUAUAUUGUUUGUAUGUUAUUAUUAUUUAAUUUCUACAAAAUGGUAAUGUGUUGGGUACCCGAAUGGUUAUCAUUGAUAUUGAAAUCUGCAGAACGGAGUAAAACUACUCAUUUAUGUUCCUGGUUCCUGCUACUUUUAUAAAGGAGAUAAAGAAAAUCUUCUCACCAUAUUUUCAAAUAGGACUGGUGAAGAUGCUGAAGAAAUGCAGUAGUACUAUCUUGUGUGUAAAUCCUUGAUUUUGUGUAAUUUAUAAAAUUGAAAGCAAUAUGAUAAAUAUGACUAAUAAGGAUUGUGUCUUUAUAAAAAAAAUAUAUCACAGGUACAAUUAUAAUGUAUUAUGGUCUUUUUUGAUAACUAUAAAAUAUUAUUUGUUUUCUUUUAGUAUGCAAACUACAAGUACGAGCAUUAAAUCUCAGAAAUGUUUACCCCUGUUUUUUUUUGGUUUUAUUCCAUGGAUUUAAUGGAUUGUAGAUGUAGACCCUCUACAUCUUCAUUACCACUUGAAAGCCAACCAGAAUCAUCUCAUUCAAGUGGUAUCACAUCAAGUAGUGCACAACAAGACACAGAAAUGUAUUUUCUUAAAUAAGAGAAUACUCAGCUGAAACUAAAAUUAGAUAAUUUGUCAAAUAUAGAUUUCCAUCCCAGCAUAUCAAGAAUGAUCACAAUUUAGUGAAAGUGUACAUGGGAAUAACAACUACUGUAUAUUGAAAUAUUGUUUAAUAUUUAAUAUGCUAAGUAAUAUUCAGUUAGAAUAUUAUCAUGGAUCAUGGAUGGGUGAAAUAUCACAGUUUUAACAAAAAAAGGAAUGUGUUGUAUUUUGUACGCACCUUAGAAGUUAUACUUCUAUUAUAUGAUUUCAAUGAAAUAAACAUAUUUUAAACAGUU
This is a long non-coding RNA of Diabrotica virgifera virgifera (western corn rootworm), 907 nucleotides long. RefSeq lists it as uncharacterized. The transcript is spliced from 2 exons. The record is from RefSeq and is a predicted model, not a curated record. NCBI's taxonomy places the organism in Eukaryota, Metazoa, Arthropoda, Insecta, Coleoptera, Chrysomelidae.